RNAcentral lists this ribosomal RNA (531 nucleotides) under Haliotis diversicolor supertexta. RNAcentral describes it as "partial 16S ribosomal RNA". It matches the Rfam family "Bacterial large subunit ribosomal RNA", at positions 1817 to 2597 of the family's 2925-position model. Lineage: Eukaryota; Metazoa; Mollusca; Gastropoda; Lepetellida; Haliotidae. The record is from RNAcentral.
GGCUCUUCGGUUAUUAAUUAAAUGAGGAGUCGGACCUGCCCGGUGACCUACGGGUUAAACGGCCGCGGUACACUGACCGUGCAAAGGUAGCACAAUCACUUGCCCUUUAAUUAGAGGCUGGUAUGAAUGGUUUGACGAGGGUUGAGCUGUCUCUUUUGGAAUAUUUAAAAAUUAACUUCUAGGUGAAAAGGCCUAGAUUGAGCUGAGGGACGAGAAGACCCUGUUGAGCUUUAGUGUUGGGUAAAGAGUGGCAUAUUCUAUUAUUAUAGAAAGUUUAGAUUUACUUUUACAUCUUUAGUUGGGGUGACUAGGGAACAUGGAUAGCUUCUCUGUUGUUUGUUUAACUUAAUUUGGUGGACUGACUGGUGAUCCAGCAUUGUUGAUUAUCGGAAAAAGUUACCACAGGGAUAACAGCGUAAUCUUUCUGGAGAGUUCACAUUGAAAGAAGGGUUUGCGACCUCGAUGUUGGAUUAAGGUGUCCUGAGGGUGUAGCAGCUUUCGUUGGUUGGUCUGUUCGACCAUUAAAACCUU